Molecule: ribosomal RNA, 1345 nt
Filed under: metagenome
Description: bacterial LSU rRNA
Rfam family: Bacterial large subunit ribosomal RNA
Source: RNAcentral
AAAAUCCACGCGGCUUGGGGAAAUACGAUAGUACUCGGAGUCUUCGGACAAAGAGAUAGUGCGCCUAAGGGCUUCCAAGAAAAACCUCUAAACUUCAGGUAAUGAGUACCCGUACCGCAAACCGACACAGGUAGUCGAGGAGAGAAUCCUAAGGUGCUCGAGAGAUUCAUGGCUAAGGAAUUAGGCAAAAUAGACCCGUAACUUCGGGAGAAGGGUCGCCCCGAGUAAUCGGGGCCGCAGUGAAGAGGUCCAGGCGACUGUUUAUCAAAAACACAGGGCUCUGCAAAAUCGCAAGAUGAAGUAUAGGGCCUGACACCUGCCCGGUGCUGGAAGGUUAAGAGGAGAUGUUAUCUUCGGAGAAGCAUUGAAUUGAAGCCCCAGUAAACGGCGGCCGUAACAAUAACGGUCCUAAGGUAGCGAAAUUCCUUGUCGGGUAAGUUCCGACCUGCACGAAUGGUGUAACGAUCUGGACACUGUCUCAGCCAUGAGCUCGGUGAAAUUGUAGUAACGGUGAAGAUGCCGUUUACCCGCAGUGGGACGAAAAGACCCUGUGCACCUUUACUAUAGCUUAGUAUUGACCUUGGAUAAAUGAUGUGUAGGAUAGGUUGGAGACUGUGAAGUGGCGUCGCCAGGCGUUGUGGAGUCAUUGUUGAAAUACAACCCUUUGUUUAUCUGAGGCCUAACCCCCAAUCGGGGGGACAUUGCUUGGUGGGUAGUUUGACUGGGGUGGUCGCCUCCAAAAGAGUAACGGAGGCUUCUAAAGGUUCCCUCAGUACGCUUGGUAACCGUGCGUAGAGUGCAAUGGCAUAAGGGAGCUUGACUGAGAGACAUACAGGUCGAUCAGGUACGAAAGUAGAGCAUAGUGAUCCGGUGGUUCCGCAUGGAAGGGCCAUCGCUCAAAGGAUAAAAGGUACGCCGGGGAUAACAGGCUGAUCUCCCCCAAGAGCUCAUAUCGACGGGGGGGUUUGGCACCUCGAUGUCGGCUCGUCACAUCCUGGGGCUGGAGAAGGUCCCAAGGGUUGGGCUGUUCGCCCAUUAAAGUGGCACGCGAGCUGGGUUCAGAACGUCGUGAGACAGUUCGGUCUCUAUCUACUGUGGGCGCAAGAAAUUUGAGUGGAUCUGAUUCUAGUACGAGAGGACCGAAUUGGACUAACCGCUGGUGUAUCUGUUGUCCCGCCAGGGGCACCGCAGAGUAGCUACGUUGGGAAGGGAUAAGCGCUGAAAGCAUAUAAGCGCGAAACCCACCACAAGAUGAGAUUUCUUUUAAGGGUCGUGGGAGAUGACCACGUUGAUAGGCUAUAGGUGUAAAGGCAGUAAUGUCAUAGCCGAGUAGUACUAAUAACCC